Molecule: ribosomal RNA, 561 nt
Filed under: uncultured bacterium
Lineage: Bacteria
Description: bacterial SSU rRNA
Rfam family: Bacterial small subunit ribosomal RNA
Source: RNAcentral
CCUACGGGAGGCAGCAGUGGGGAAUAUUGGACAAUGGGCGCAAGCCUGAUCCAGCAAUGCCGCGUGAGUGAUGAAGGCCUUAGGGUCGUAAAGCUCUUUUACCAGGGAUGAUAAUGACAGUACCUGGAGAAUAAGCUCCGGCUAACUCCGUGCCAGCAGCCGCGGUAAUACGGAGGGAGCUAGCGUUGUUCGGAAUUACUGGGCGUAAAGCGUACGUAGGCGGUUAUUCAAGUCAGAGGUGAAAGCCCGGGGCUCAACCCCGGAACGGCCUUUGAAACUAGGUAGCUAGAAUCUUGGAGAGGUCAGUGGAAUUCCGAGUGUAGAGGUGAAAUUCGUAGAUAUUCGGAAGAACACCAGUGGCGAAGGCGACUGACUGGACAAGUAUUGACGCUGAGGUACGAAAGCGUGGGGAGCAAACAGGAUUAGAUACCCUGGUAGUCCACGCCGUAAACGAUGAUAACUAGCUGUUCGGGCACUUGGUGCUUGAGUGGCGCAGCUAACGCAUUAAGUUAUCCGCCUGGGGAGUGCGGUCGCAAGNUUAAAACUCAAAGGAAUUGACGG